UGGAAACCUGAGGUUCAGGUGUUUUGCUGUCCACACAGCGAAAUUUUGUUUUCCAUAUAUAUAUAUUUUUCCUCCAGAGUUGCAACUUGUUUCCAGUGUAUCUGGUUAUGUUGUUGUGCAUCUCCAAGGUCUAGUUCUGUCUUCCCAAUAGCAUACCAUUAGGUAGCUGAACUGUGGAAUUUCCACCAAGACAAGUAUUGUGAACACAUUUGAAAAACAUCUUCUGGAAAGUGCUGGAAUUUCCCUCAACACAGGCGUUUAAUGAGGACCUAGAUGACAUUUGCAGAGCCUACAGCAUAGUGAAGACAGAAUGAUUUCUGGCCGUCUCUCUGAGUGCACAGUAAGAAGCAGCUUCCAUCUACACAGAUACUGCUCUGUGCUUCCCAGACUUACAAUGUGCGGGAACUGGUCCACAGCUUCUCGCAGCAUCUCAUUGCACCACGGAGACAGAAAACUCUUAAUGGUCCUUUUCAAGGUACAAUAAACAGAAAGCAGCUCUGCAAAGGGAGCAGCAAUAGCUGCUUAAUCAACAAUGGCUUCUACAAGAACGUCCAUCCCAGGAGCACAGCAGAACUGACAACGUAUCAUCUCUAUGACUGCUAGUCCAGCUUCUGGCUGAAAUGGGGCUGCUGUCAUCAGCACACAUGGGGCUGCUACAUGGAAGGAUUUUCUGGAGUAUUCAACCAAAGCCAGUCUGCAGUCCAGGUAAGACCAGCUCCUCCAUGAGAGCCAGGGGGCAUCUUCCAAGUUAUGAGCAGAGGGAUGGUGUGAACAGUGGCUGAUGGUACAAAUUUUUAUUUUGAAUAAAGUCCUGAGUGGGCAUUUAUUCGACUCA
This 835-nucleotide long non-coding RNA is filed under the name Anser brachyrhynchus (Pink-footed goose). Its description in RNAcentral is "lncRNA (ENSABRG00000020239.1)". The record is from RNAcentral. Lineage: Eukaryota; Metazoa; Chordata; Aves; Anseriformes; Anatidae.